Molecule: ribosomal RNA, 300 nt
Filed under: uncultured Psychrobacter sp.
Lineage: Bacteria; Pseudomonadati; Pseudomonadota; Gammaproteobacteria; Moraxellales; Moraxellaceae
Description: bacterial SSU rRNA
Rfam family: Bacterial small subunit ribosomal RNA
Source: RNAcentral
GCUAACUCCGGGCCAGCAGCCGCGGUAAUACGGAGGGUGCAAGCGUUAAUCGGAAUUACUGGGCGUAAAGCGAGCGUAGGUGGCUUGAUAAGUCAGAUGUGAAAUCCCCGGGCUUAACCUGGGAACUGCAUCUGAUACUGUUAGGCUAGAGUAGGUGAGAGGGAGGUAGAAUUUCAGGUGUAGCGGUGAAAUGCGUAGAGAUCUGAAGGAAUACCGAUGGCGAAGGCAGCCUCCUGGCAUCAUACUGACACUGAGGUUCGAAAGCGUGGGUAGCAAACAGGAUUAGAUACCCGUGUAGUC